Molecule: ribosomal RNA, 525 nt
Filed under: uncultured bacterium
Lineage: Bacteria
Description: bacterial SSU rRNA
Rfam family: Bacterial small subunit ribosomal RNA
Source: RNAcentral
ACAUCCAGCGAACUUGGCAGAGAUGCCUUGGUGCCUUCGGGAACGCUGAGACAGGUGCUGCAUGGCUGUCGUCAGCUCGUGUUGUGAAAUGUUGGGUUAAGUCCCGCAACGAGCGCAACCCUUAUCCUUUGUUGCCAGCGAUUCGGUCGGGAACUCAAAGGAGACUGCCGGUGAUAAACCGGAGGAAGGUGGGGAUGACGUCAAGUCAUCAUGGCCCUUACGAGUAGGGCUACACACGUGCUACAAUGGCGCAUACAAAGAGAAGCGACCUCGCGAGAGCAAGCGGACCUCAUAAAGUGCGUCGUAGUCCGGAUCGGAGUCUGCAACUCGACUCCGUGAAGUCGGAAUCGCUAGUAAUCGUGGAUCAGAAUGCCACGGUGAAUACGUUCCCGGGCCUUGUACACACCGCCCGCCACACCAUGGGAGUGGGUUGCAAAAGAAGUAGGUAGCUUAACCUUCGGGAGGGCGCUUACCACUUUGUGAUUCAUGACUGGGGUGAAGUCGUAACAAGGUAGGCGUAGCGAG